Molecule: ribosomal RNA, 340 nt
Filed under: uncultured bacterium
Lineage: Bacteria
Description: partial 16S ribosomal RNA
Rfam family: Bacterial small subunit ribosomal RNA
Source: RNAcentral
CCUACGGGUGGCAGCAGUGAGGACUAUUUGUCAAUGGCCGUAAGGCUGAACCAGCCAAGUCGCGUGAAGGAAGAAGGCUCUAUGGUUUGUAACCUUCUUUUAUAGGGGACUAAAGGUAUCCACGUGUGGAUAUUUGCAUGUACCCUAUGAAUAAGCAUCGGCUAACUCCGUGCCAGCCGCCGCGGUAAUACGGAGGAUGCGAGCGUUAUCCGGAUUUCUUGGGUUUAAAGGGUGCGUAGGUUGUUUUUUAAGUCAGCGGGGAACGUUUGUGGCUCAACCAUAAAAUUGCCGUUGAAACUGGAAGACUUGAGUGUGUUUGGGGUGGGGGGAAUGCGUGGUG